GGGAAUCAUCGAAGAGUUGAAGGAAAAGGGAGAGGAGGGGAAUCCCGGGAAGUAUGCCUGUUUGAGGGUCAGUAUUAAUAAAAAAUCGGUUUAGUUACAAAUUGUGACGUUUCCGGAGUUUGGGCUAUCUUAACAUUUUUGGUUAAGAGGCUUAAAAUUGACCUUUUUUGCGCAUUUUUAAACGUACAUAAAUUUUUUUUAUUCGUCUAUUCUUAAUGCCAAAAUCUUAUUUGUUGCGACACCAUCGUGUGGCUUCGUGUCCCGAACACUUUCAUGAUUUGACCUCAAAUCAGGUAGGAGU
This 301-nucleotide unclassified non-coding RNA is filed under the name Rhizophagus sp. (in: glomeromycetes). RNAcentral describes it as "partial internal transcribed spacer 2". The record is from RNAcentral. Lineage: Eukaryota; Fungi; Glomeromycota; Glomeromycetes; Glomerales; Glomeraceae.